CCAGCCCCAUGACCUAGGGUUAAGUUUGGUGUACUCUGCUUUAGCAGCCAAGGUUCAGUUCCCAUGCGUGGACUUACACCACUCAUUGCCGGACAUGCUGUGGUGGUGACUCACAUACAAAAUAGAAGACUGACAUAGAUGUUAGCUCGGGGUGAAUCUUCCUCAAGGAAAAAGAGGAAGAUUGGCAAUAGUUCUUAUCUCAGAGCCAAUCUUCCUCAGCAAAAAGGAAAGAAAGAGAGGAAGAAGGGAAAGAAUGGAAGAAAGAAGGAAAGACAAGAAGGAAAGAGGGAAGGAAGGAAGCAAGGAAGGAAGGAAGGAGGGAAGAAAGAGAAAGAAAGAGAGAAAGUUAGAAAGAAAGAAAGAAAGAAAGAAAGAAAGAAAGAAAGAAAGAAAAAUAUUUACUCCUCAAUAAAUGUCACACCAUCUACCCACUUACUUAAGCCCUAAACCAGGAAGUCAUCCUUGAUUCUUCUUUUCCUUCCCUCUGACAUCCAGUCCAUCAGCAGUCCAUAUCAGCUCUACCUCCCAAUCUUUCUUGAGUCUCUCCACUUCUCCCCAUCCUCUGCCACCAUCCUUCUCUCACUGAACCUAUUGCAAGAACCCCUCAAGUGGAAUCCCUUUUACUACUCUUUCCCUCCUAUCAACCAUUCUCCAGACCGGAUCUACUCUAAAGUGGUCGUUAAGAAUGUAAAUCACGUGAUAUCACUUUGCUAAGAACCAUCUGGCAGCUUCCUGUUGCACUCAGACUAUGUCCAAUCUCCCUACCGUCCCUGCGAAGCCUUCCCUGCUCCGUCUCCUGUCUUCAGAUCUCUGCUUCGCUCCUUCCGCCCCAGCCGCAGCGCUCCUUCUGUCCCACAUGCGGGCCAAGAUCAUUUCUGCACUGGGAACUUGGCUCAUGCUCUUUCCUCUGCCUGGAAUAAUUCAUUCUGUCCGGUUGUCAUUUAGGACUCACCUUAAUUGUCAUCCACUCAUAGGGGACUUUGUUGAUGAACGACCCACACCCCCAGAUCUCCACGAAACCACCACUAUUCUAUUACAUUAUCCUAAGUGUCAGUCAGGGUUCUUGCUUACAAGCAAGAGAAACCAGCUGACUAAUCGAAUAUGUAUAUGUUAGAGCGUAGCAGGUGACCCCCAGAGCUUUGAGGGGUCCAGACGGCCAGGCUUUGAGACCACUCAUCCAGGAGCCACACCCUGAGUCACACCACCAGAGCUCGUCCAGCAGAAGCUGGUCUGUUAAUCCUGGCCAAGACAUCACAGCUCAAACCACAGUACCACUGACCCUGGACACUUUCUCUGCCUCAGAACUGCUGCCACCACUGCCUCAGGCAACUACAGGGAGUUGUUAGUGACCCAAUCAAGAGAAAUUUCAGAGGAGUGAUGGGCC
Molecule: long non-coding RNA, 1384 nt
Filed under: Equus caballus (horse)
Lineage: Eukaryota; Metazoa; Chordata; Mammalia; Perissodactyla; Equidae
Description: lncRNA (ENSECAG00000059893.1)
Source: RNAcentral